Molecule: non-coding RNA, 464 nt
Organism: Oryzias latipes (Japanese medaka)
Lineage: Eukaryota; Metazoa; Chordata; Actinopteri; Beloniformes; Adrianichthyidae
Source: RefSeq, a predicted model, not a curated record
CACCCCCCCAGGAAGAUAACCCCCACCCCCUCCAAGGAACCCCCAACCUGCCCCCAGCCGUGGGCCCAGGCCCCUGGUCUGGCAUACAGUGAAUGCCAGAGCGAAGGAAGCCCGCAGAGUCGCUUGGGAAAAUCAGAAUAACAGAAAGAAAUGGAAAAUCAAAAUCCCCCACCCCCCCAGGAAGAUAACCCCCCACCCCCACCCCACCCAAGGAACCCCCAACCUGCCCACAGCCGUGGGCCAAGGCCCCUGGUCUGGCACGCCGAUGUGAAUCGCGCGAGGCGGGACCGCAGAAUCGCCAGCGACAAUCAGUUUAUUCUGGGGAGGCUGCUACCAUUGGCGCGGAACGAGGAGGAGAGGCGCCGCCUCCGCCAAGUUUACGGUCCUAACUAAAAUGAAGAGAACCCCGUCAAGAAUAACAGAAAGAAAUGGAAAAUCAAAAUCCCCCACCACCUCCCCACCCC